Molecule: RNA transcript, 3006 nt
Organism: Cercocebus atys (sooty mangabey)
Lineage: Eukaryota; Metazoa; Chordata; Mammalia; Primates; Cercopithecidae
Gene name: serine/threonine-protein kinase PRP4 homolog pseudogene
Exons: 1
Source: RefSeq, a predicted model, not a curated record
AUGGCCCCGGCGGAGACCCAGACGCUGCGGGAACAGCCGGAGAUGGAAGAUGCUGAUAAUUCUGAAAAGAGUAUACAUGAAGAAAAUGGAGAAGUAUCAGAAGACCAAUCUCAAAAUAAGAACAAAAUAAGUAAAAAAAGUAUAAACAGAAGUAAACAUAAGAAACAUAAACAUUUCUCAGAAGACAAGGAUAAAAAACAUAAACAUAAGCAUAAAUGCAAGAAACAUAAAAGAAAAGAGGUUACGGAUGCUUCUGAUAAAGAGGGUAUGUCUCCAGCAAAAAGAACUAAACUUGAUGAUUUAGCUUUGCUAGAAGACUUGGAAAAACAGAGAGCCUUGAUUAAGGCUGAACUUGAUAGUGAGUUAAUGGAAGGAAAGGUCCAAUCUGGUAUGGGGUUCAUUUUACAAGAUUAUGAGUCUGGCUCUGAAGAAGAGGGGGAGAUUCAUGAAAGGCAAGAAAUGGAAAUAGAUCUAGUACUAGAUCUUCAAGUACAAAGGGGAAACUUGAAUUGUGGACAAUAAAAGUACUACAAAAAACGAAGUAAAAGCAGAUCCAAAGAACGGAGUAGAUGUAGGUCUGAUAAGAAGAAAAGUAAGGGGGGUAUUGAAAUAGUUAAACAGAAAACAACUAGGAGCAAGUCAAAGGAGAGGAAAAAGUCUAAAAGCCAAUCAAAAGAAGGAAGUCUCAAAAUCAAGCAAGAGAAUUAAAAUCCCCUACCCUUAGAAGGUGAUCUUAAGAGAAAAUUGGUAAGGCCAGAUCUCCUGCUGAUGAUAAGGUUAAAACUGAAGAUAAGAGUAAAUAAAAAAACAAGACAAAUCCCCAAUUGUAAAUGAAAGUAGAAGUCACGAUCAAGGUAAAAAAUCGAGAUCCCCAGUUGAUUUAAGAGGUAAAUCCAAAGACAGAAGGUCACAGUCCAGAAAGAGAAAAUGAAAACAGUCUGAAGCUGAUAAAGAAAAGAACCCAAUUAAAAAAAAAUACUUCAUCUGAGAAAGAAAAUAGAUCACCCAGUAGAAGACCUAGUUGUAGUCCUAAAAGAAGUUUGUCUCCAAAACCACGUGAUAAAUCAAGAAGAAGUAGGUCUCCACUUUUAAAUGAUAGAAGAUCUAAGCAGAGCAAACCUCCCUCUUGAACACUGUCUCCUGGUGGAACAGCUGAGCCGAUCCUAAGAAGGAAAAUGAAGAGAACCAGAGAGAGGACAACUUUCUUCUUCAAGAACACGACCUUGAGAUGAUAUCCUCAAUAGACAUGAAAGAUCAAAAGAUGCCAGCCCCAUCAAUAGGUGGUCUCCAAUUCGAAGAAGAAGUAGAUCUCCCAUUAAAAGGAGGUCUCAUUCCCCACUCAGACGUAGCACAAAAAGUCGGGUCUCCAAGAAGAAGAUGCAGGUCUCCUUGGAAAAGGGACAGAGGUUGGAGGAGCAGAUCAUGCUUGAAAAGGUGGUCUCAGUCAUGGGGUGGUCGUAGAUGAAGGAGCAGAAGCAAAGUAAAGGAAGAUAAAUUUAAAGGAAGUGUUUCUGAAGAAAUGAAAGUCGAACAGAAAUAUUUGUCUGAUGAUAACCUUGAAGAUUUUGAUGUGGAGGAAGAAGAUGAAGAAGCUCUAAUAGAACAGAGAAGAAUCCAAAGGCAGGCAAUUGUUCAGAAAUAUAAAUAUCUUGCUGAAGAUAGCAAUAUGUCCGUGUCAUCUGAACCAAGCAUCCCCCAGAGCAGUACGAAAACGUGAUCACCUAUCCUUCUGGAGCGAGCAGCUGCUGUUGUUAAAGAGUAUGAAUGGGAAAAUGUUGAUACAUUUGAGGCCUCAGUGAAAGCCAAGCAUAAUCUAAUGACAGUUGAACAGAAUAAUGGUUCAUCUCAGAAGAAGUUGUUAGUACUUGAUAUGUUUUACAGAAUCUGAUGAUAUGUUUGCUGACGAUUUUGAUAGUGCUUGUCUCUGGGCUGCUGGCAAUGGAUAAGAUUCAAAGAGAAUCCCAACCUCAGAGAUAACUGGACUGAUUCAGAAGGCUAUUAUCAUGUGAACAUAGGUGAAGUCCUAGAUAAAUGUUACAAUGUAUAUGGCUACACUGGGCAAGGUAUAUUCAGUAAUGUUUUAUGAGCCAGAGAUAAUGCAAGAGCCAGCCAAGAAGUGGCUGUCAAGGUCAUCAGAAACAAUGAGCUCAUGCAAAAGACUGGUUUAAAAGAACUAGAGUUCUUGAAAGAAUUUGAUGCCGAUCCUGAUGACAAACUUCAUUGUCUGCGACUCUUCAGGUGCUUCUAUCACAAACAUCUCUGUCUCAUAUUCGAGCCUCUCAGUAUGAACUUACAAAAGGUGUUAAAAAAUAUGAUAAAGAUACUGGUUUUCAUAUUAAAGCUGUAAGAUACCAUAGUCAGCAGUUUUUCCUGGCAUUGAAAUUCCUCAAAAUAUGCGAUAUCCUACAUGUAGACAACAAGCCAGACAAUAUCCUGGUUAAUCAUCAGAAACUAUUUUAAAGUUUGUGAUCUGGGGUUGGCUUCACAUGUUGCGGAUAAUGACGUUAUACCUUAUCUUGUCAGUAGAUUUUAUCGUGCUGUUGAAAUCAUUAUAGGUAAAAACUGUGACUAUGGUAUACAUAUGUGGUCAGUAGGUUGUACCUUAUAUGGACUCUAUACUGGAAAAAUUUUAUUUCCUGGCAAAACUAAUAAUCGUAUAUUGAAGCUUGUGAUGAAUCUCAAAGGAAAGUUGCCAAAUACGAUGAUUCAAAAGGUGCAUUCAAAGAUCAGCAUUUUGAUCAAAAUCUCAACUUCAUGUACAUAGAAGUUGAUAAAGUAACAGACAGGGAGAAAGUUAUUGUUAUGAGCACCAUUAAUCCAACUAAGGACCUAUUGGCUGACUUGAUUGGGUGCCAGACACUUCCUGAAGACUGAUGUAAAAAAGUAUACCAGCUAAAGGACUUGUUGGACCAGAUUCUAAUGUUGGGCCUAGCUAAAUGAAUUAGCAUCAACCAGGCCCUACAGCAUGCCUUCAUCCAGGACAAAAUUUAAGCAAGAUGAAGAAAC